This is a long non-coding RNA of Hemicordylus capensis (graceful crag lizard), 1735 nucleotides long. RefSeq lists it as uncharacterized. The record is from RefSeq and is a predicted model, not a curated record. Lineage: Eukaryota; Metazoa; Chordata; Lepidosauria; Squamata; Cordylidae. The transcript is spliced from 5 exons.
ACUGUGCUGGGAAGGGUACGGUUGCCUCUAUAUAGUUCGAGGGCACUGAGUGAAGUUGUAGUUGGUAGCUAGGGGUUAAAAAGGUCUGGAAAGCCACAUGAGCCCUGUGAUUGGUAGCCAGGCCCAGACAGAGACCAGAAUCAAAUUCAAAAGGGGGUUACCCUCCUCCGCAAAAGAGCGGGGGAGGUGUCAAUAGCUCAGGUUGUUUUAGAGCUACUUUCUGUUUUGGUGGUUCAGACAGUUAGAAGCUGAAGAGAGAGCAGCCAGAAAAGUCUGGGGUCACACUCUUUCCCCCAAGUCCUCAAUUGGAGGCCUGGAUUGACAAAGCUGAAGGAAAAGCUACAGAAAAAGAAAACCUUUAAGGAAGACCAUCUGAGGAAAAAACAGUGCUGAAAACUUGUGUGACAAAUUUCAACUCUAUCAUCCUCUGUCCAACAAGUGAAAACCAAGCAACUGAUUAAGUCUGAAGACAAUUACUUCCUCUAACAUCACACAUCUUAACUGCAUCAGUGAUUCUGAAAAUUGAGCAGGGAGCUAAGUGAACCUUCCUUACCCUUGUUGAUGGGCUGGAUCAAAUAUGGCAGGCUGAAACAAUUUCUGGUGUCAUUAGUCCAUUGCGUUUUUCUCUGGACUGGAAGAAGGAAGGAUCUGCACUGGAUUAUUCCCAUAUCACACCCUUCCUGCCCUACAUGUUCCUCUGGCUCCCUAUCAAUGAGGUUCAGAACUUCAAAACGGUUCCUGAUGUUCUCCUUCAAAAUGGUACUUAAUCAGCUCAAGACGGGGCAGAAAAUUGAUGUCAAAGCUUGAUAGCCUGAAAAGGAAAUAAAACCAAAUCCAGUCCUGGUUUUGAAAAUAUCAAGAGAAAAGAAUGUAAACAACAACAGCAACAAAUAUACACCCCAAGAGAAAAGAAUGCCAAUUAUGUCAUUUUGAGGGAAACCAGCGUUCCCCCAUUCCAGAUUCAAAGUAUAAACCCUUGGCAUUUCUUCCUGUGAUGAAACAAGAAGAUUAUGGUUCUGUUAAGCACAUUGUUUUGGGAUGAUAUCGAACAAGGUUUGAAAAACUAGCCGAGAAGCCAGGAUUAUAUAUUCAGUUAGCUGAAGAAUUUUGAAUACUUAAUAUCAAAGCAGUUAGACAGGUGAGUGAGAUGCGUUCACAGAUUAUAGCAUAAGGUGCUACAUGGAAUAUUUUCCUGAAGAGCCACACAAGGGAAAGGAGCAAAGGCUUAGCUCUGUACGGCUUAUCCAGCUCAAUAUCCCUCAUCUAGCCUGACAGUGUGGUUUUUAACAAAACCAUUAGUCAUUUGACUGAAGGCAGUUUGAGCACAAUUGAUUCUUUCUGAUCCAUCCCAAGGAAUUAAUUUCAGAAACUGCAGGGUAGUUUCCUGUAACACAAAAUGGUUCCUUUUGUGCUGCAUGAGGCCCAGACCCCACACAGUCCACUUUUUCCGCACAUGCAGCAAGAGUCCUUCAGGCUUAGCUGUCCAAAUGUUUGAUGUUGUAAGGAAAUAAUUUAUUGAAAGGCUUGAGCACUGCCUUCCUCAUUAAUGGAGCCUGGUUUCUAAAACACAGGAAAAGGCCAGCAUUGUGAGCAGGGGGGCGGAACUCAUGACAUCAGUCAUAUAUUAUUCAUAAUAUUAUUAAUGCAGAUUGCAAAUGUCCUUGCCUUGCUUUUCUUUUAUUUUGUUUUCUGAGAUUCAAAGUGUCCAUAUAAUAAUGAAUGCUUUUAAAGGGUU